Populus nigra (black poplar) is the source of this 1509-nucleotide long non-coding RNA. RefSeq lists it as uncharacterized. The transcript has 2 exons. Lineage: Eukaryota; Viridiplantae; Streptophyta; Magnoliopsida; Malpighiales; Salicaceae. The record is from RefSeq and is a predicted model, not a curated record.
UCUUGAAAAGCCUCCUUUUAUGGAAAAUCCAAGCAACAAAAUGGGCCACUUGAUACAAACAUGAUAGGACUUGAUAAAAUCACUGGGCUGAUAAAGGGUUCCACCACGAAUUAAUGAUGGAUCUUCCUCACCAAUCAACCGAAGGGUCUCUUAUAAUCGAUUAAUAUACUGACUUUCUGCAGUUCAUAAUGCAAUGAUGUACACUAUAGCAUUUAUCAGGGAAGAAAAAAACGAAAAGAUGAUGAUGAUGAUGAUGAUUCAUAUCGCACAGGCAGCUGGGACUGCCUCAUAGGGUAAGCUGACAUCAAACAACAGGCUUGUUAACUGGGAGCAGUUAGGGUAGGGAAGUGGUUUUCAGUCUAGGCACAAGAAAGUGCAGGCACAGGCUAGCAGGAUUGUCAGGAUAGAUAAGAGUGUGAGAGACUCAGAGAGAGGCUUGGAGCGAGGUAUAUUUCUGAUUUUAACCUGGAAAAUGCACAUUUCCUGAUCAUUUAGAGAGCGAGGCGAGACUGUUCGAGUGAUUAAACAUACAUUUUAGGAUGCAUACAGGCUAGGCAGCCAAUCAUAGAAGAUAAACAAGCAACAUAAAUAGAAGGUGAUUAGGUGAACAUAGGAACCAGGAGGAUCUUCCAUUCAUUGAACCUCAAUUCAUUUGUUCUAGUUACAUUAACUUCUGCUGAAGAUGAAUGUUUGGACAGUUUAGAUGCUAUUUCAUGCAUGUACGAAAUGAUCCUGUUAGUCAAUUGUCCAUGAGCUUCGUCAUUAUGGAGAGACCAUGUCACCUUCUUUGCGAGUGGAUGAGGAGAUCGUGCGAAACAUUGGUCUCUGCUAAAGAAAGAUGUCAUUGCCGGAUUGCUUGUUCUAUAUGCAAUGGCUCAUAACAUCAAGCUGCUCCGAUUUUCUGUCAUUAUGAUAAUCAUGAUCUGCCAUAAUAUGGAUUCAUCAUCCUCACAAUAGGUAGCAAAACUUCAAGUCACCAGAAAAUUCUUGGCAUGCAAACCAACCAGUACAUGCUAGUGAGAUCAAAUAUUUCCACAGAAGCAAUCCAAAUCAAGUAGAUGUGCAGGGUAGACCCCAGUACCAACUCUUAGUAAAGAUUCCUCCGGUCACAAAGCCAAAUGGACUUUGAACGUGAUAGUAACAGAACGGUAAAGAAUCUAUUCUCCAGGUUUGCAUCACUAUCAUUUUCAAUCGGUCACAGAAGCAAGAACCUGAAUACAAACUUUCCAGCUUAUGGAAAGACAAGGAACCAGUAGCUUUACAGCUUCUGCUGCCAAAUAAUCUUUCGAUACAGAUAACAUCAGCAUCAAAUAGGACAGACAAGUAAACUAACACCACAAACUUGCCGUUUUCUUGAAUCAUUUCAUCAUGACAACAACAGGUACUGGCCCAGUGCUACAGUUGGAUGUUAUUUAAGGAUUAAAUAGACAAUUUUUGUUCUUUGUUUUCAUCAUAAUGUCUUGGUGGCUUGUUAUCCCCUCUUUUUGUACAAUGAUAUUCCUUUUGUGC